AGAGUUUGAUCCUGGCUCAGGAUGAACGCUGGCGGUAUGCUUUACACAUGCAAGUCGUACGAGAGUUUUUAACUCAAGUGGCGGACGGGUGAGUAACACGUAAGAAUUUACCUUUAGGAGGGGGACAACAACUGGAAACGGUUGCUAAUACCCCAUAUGCUUUCGAGUGAAAUGGAUUUUCCGCCUAAAGAGAAGCUUGCGGCUGAUUAGCUUGUUGGGGAGGUAAUGGCUCACCAAGGCGACGAUCAGUAUCUGGUUUGAGAGGACGAUCAGACACACUGGAACUGAGACACGGUCCAGACUCCUACGGGAGGCAGCAGUGGGGAAUUUUCCGCAAUGGGCGAAAGCCUGACGGAGCAAUACCGCGUGAGGGAUGACGGCCUAUGGGUUGUAAACCUCUUUUUUCAGGGAGGAAUAAAUGACGUGUACCUGAAGAAUAAGCAUCGGCUAACUCCGUGCCAGCAGCCGCGGUAAGACGGAGGAUGCAAGUGUUAUCCGGAAUCACUGGGCGUAAAGCGUCUGUA
Molecule: ribosomal RNA, 524 nt
Filed under: uncultured cyanobacterium
Lineage: Bacteria; Bacillati; Cyanobacteriota
Description: bacterial SSU rRNA
Rfam family: Bacterial small subunit ribosomal RNA
Source: RNAcentral